UAAAAGCUUAGGUUAAAUUAAACCAGAGGCCUUCAAAGCCCCAAACAAGGACCACCCCCUUAGCUUUUG
This 69-nucleotide transfer RNA is filed under the name Trachylepis striata (African striped mabuya). RNAcentral's name for it is "tRNA-Trp". The record is from RNAcentral. Lineage: Eukaryota; Metazoa; Chordata; Lepidosauria; Squamata; Scincidae. RNAcentral also lists the same sequence under 1 other name.